GGUGGACUACGGGGCACAGCAGAGAAGCUGGUAGCCUACUUCAGCCCCCGCGAGGAGGUCCGCCGGAUCACCAUCCUGUGUGCCAAGUUCUCCGGACACCCCAAGGGGUCAGUGCCAGCCAGCUAUUCAUAGAGUUGGACACCAAGAGCUCAGCCCAGGCCGCCGUGGGGCUGGAUGAGACCGUCGUCCCCGGCCGAGUCAUCAAGGUGUGUUCCCUAAACCACACGAACCUCUGACUCCCUGAGGAGGCAGGAAAUUCGGGCUCAGGGAGGCCACGAUCCUUCUCCAAGUCCCCCGUGUCUGUGCUCAGGGCCCAGCGGGUUUCCACUGGAUGGGGCACGGGCGGGGAGAGGGUGCUGGGGGCUCCCUUCCCCAGCUGGACCCCUGGGGGAUGCCGGGCCCACAGGGGCACAUCACCCGCCCCUGUCUGCGGCUGGACAGUUCAGGUGUGAGUGGGAAUUCUUAGAAGGUUGGAAACAGGUUAGGGUCUGACGCCCCAGAGCUCCAUGCCCAGGAGCUGCGGGUCGUAAUUACCGCUGCAGUACCCGCAGCGCACCUGCCUGGGAGCCUCCAGCAAAGAAACCCAAGAAGGCUUCCUGGAGGCAGGUUUAGCCCUGGGCUCUGCCGCGCUGCGGAAGAGGGGAGGAGAGCAGGUGUCUCCGAGGGAGUCCGCCUGCGGCGCCAGGCCUGACCGUGAAAGGCCGGUGAUGGGUCCCAGACUGGGCCCUGCCCUACUUCCCAGCCAGUAGCCAGCCCCCUGCUCCAUGGGGAGCCGCGGCUAACUGCGUGUCCAGCCCAGGCCUGGUGGCCUGCGUGGUCGGUGCUGCCCCCCCCACGGUGAGUGACACAGUGUGAGGCCCUGUGGGAGGGCACGCACCUUGGGCGCCUGGCCCCAGCCUGGCCCUGGUCAGAAGUUCAGAGGGCAGAAGGGAGGUCCCCAUGCUGGGCACUCCGACUGCCGGGGCUCUGAGGCAGGCACAACCCGCAUCCCCCCUGAAGGGGCAGUACGUGCUCCUUCCCAGUGCAGGGCUGGGCGAGGAAACUCCCUUUGCUCUGGAACUAGGUAACUGCCAACCAGCCCUCACUGGGCUCUUCUAAAGCCUCUCACCUGGUUGCCCUACCUACCUAUUCCUGACCCCAAGGACAGAGCUGCCCCCGGCUGCCAACCACCAGGGGUCCACAGGUGUGGUCAGGGGGACCGGCCACCCCUUGGCUCUCCACCCGCAUUGGUCUCUGGCAUCCUCUCUCAGACCAGCUUCAUAACCCCCAUGAUCUGGGGUCAGGUCUGCCCUUGAGUGGGGUGAAGGAUUCCCCUGGGAGAAAAGGUCCAUAUCCUAAUUUCCAGAACCUGCGAAUGGGACCUUAUUUGGGAGGAGGUCAGGAUCAUGCUGGGUCACCUGGGUGGGCCCGAAAUCUAAUGAGACACAUGCUCCCAGAGAGGCUGCGGCGACGGGCCAGAGGUUGUACGGCUGCAUCUGAGCCAAGGAACCCGGGUGGCUGUCCAAAGCUGCGGAGGCCUGAACCACAUACCCCCUCAGACCAGCCUGGAGGAGUCGGCCCUGCUGACCCCUGGAUUCCUGGCUCUGGCCUCCGGAACCUGGGAGUACCGCUUGCUGGCUCACGCACACGUGCACACCCAUGAGAAGGCAGGAAGGCAGGGCUGUCAGGGCAAGCCCGGGGUGGCCCUGGGCGGCGUGCUGUCAGGGCGGUGCAGAGGAGGCACAUGCGCGGGACAGAGUCCCCUGGGCUGGAGCUUGUGUGGCACCAAGCAGGAGACAUGGGUUCCUGCCCGCUAAGCACCCAGGGGCUUCUCCCCUCCUUGGUGAGGGGGGAUUUGCUUCCAUCUUGAGGCGCUCACCGUGCAUGCUGGCCUUUCUGCAAGGUCCUGUGGGCAGUCUCCCCACCCCGCAUCGGGUUCCUUUUCAGAGUGUUUCCUGACCCCUUCUGUGUGGCCGCUCUGCGGAGUGACAUGGGAGCUCCUCCUCUCCCGUGGAUUUCGGGCCGAAACAGACCAAGACGGAGAGAGGAUGAGGAACGCUCCUGACCUGGGGCCGCACGGGUGGUGACGGCUCCCGGAGGUGAGAGCUGCUGAGGGGACUCACGUGGCUGUGCCUGGAGAAGGCCGAGACACACAGGCUCCCUGUCUGGUCCGGGGCAGAGGGAAGGACAGGGAACCAUCUCCCAAGCAACCCCAGCGCGACGGGCUGACCGGGCGCGGCCCAGCUCCUGGCUGCGGGGACGGGCAGGCGGUGACCCCCAAGGAGGCUGGCCUCAAGGCAGAGUGCUUGAAGGAUGCUGACUGUAAGAAGUCCAGGCCCCGGUGAGCAAAUCCCACGUUCCCUCUGGCUUUCUGCUCCCCAUGUGUAGGAGAGAAAGCUCGUCCUCAUGCGUUCGAGGGGGCUGCCCUAGCGUCAGCCAUCACAUCCAAGACGCGGAAGGAAACGACGAAGGCCGGAGACUCCACCUGCUGGCCGAGUCCCCGUCCAAGUAUCUCCAGUGCCAUCCGCUCACGUGCCGUGAUGACCCCCGUGGUGGGUACGGAGAAGCGGAAAUAUCUUCCGUCAGUCACCUGUAGCCAACAGCAACUGUAGCACUCUCAGCAGGGAAGCAAGCCAGCAACGUGUGGCUGCCCGCGGCCACUACUCAGACGGGAGCAAAUACUACGGAGCGCGGCCGAGAGGGCACAGCUGGCACGAGAACCAGUGCCCACCGGUCGGUGCCUCAGCCCUCCGCUAGGCCUCCCGGUCCACCUGCGUCCGGGGACUUGGGUUUAAUACCCGCUGCUGACUGAGUUCUCCCUCUGCUUCCGACCUGCGAGCACGAGUCCUGUGCUCCGCCGGCGGGAAGGGAAGGCGAUGAGGUGUCUGGCUUCCACCCAGACGCAGACUGCCUUCCCCGCUGCCCAGGGGGCCCCGAGCUGCCUCCCUCCUGUCCCCUUCUCUGGCGCACUGAGGAGGGGAGGGAGGGACUCGAAGCUGUCUUGGGGCCCGUGACCCAAAGCCAGUGUGCUCAACAAGCGACUGAGGGCACGAGAGCCGGGCCAACCGGGAAGGCACAGUCACAUGCACUUGGCCGGGCAGGCCUCUGGGGAAGCAGAGUGCAGGAAUCCAGUCACCUUCGGCUCCGUCCCCAAUGGGACCUUCCCCUCCCAGCUCGGGGGCCUGCCAGGGCAGCAAGUGAGCGGGGACUCCUCUAACCCAGCCGGGCCCCAACCGAGAAAGAGGCCUCUGGGGCUUGCUUGCUCUGCCCUCAGAGAGCCAGUGGCACCUGACAACCCACGUCAAAGCUCCCGGGCUCUGUGAGGGGGGCCUCCCGAGGCCCGGCGCAAAACCAGACCCACGCAGGCCCCUCCGUGCAGGGGGAGGUGUGUGGGCUGGGCGGGGGUCUAGACCUGGCUCUGGCCACGGAGGCCUGCCACACCUCCCCGCCAGGUCAGCCUCCGAGCACAGCCCACCCCAAGUCUCCCUGCACCUCCGUCAGCUCCCCCUGCAGCAGCAGCAUCUUCAGGGCCGAAGCGCCGUGGGCCCUCCCACCACCCUCCCUGCCCCUCCCCGAGCUGUGCGGUGCCUCAAAUGCCCCGUGCCACCCCCUCCAGCUAAAUCCUCCACUGACACAAGGAAAACGCCAAAUCCGAUCCCAGAGGACAUUUAGUCUGCACGCAGCACGCCGGAGACCGUGCCCCCAGCAGCACGUCUGUGAGGCUCAGAAACAGGCAAGCGAUCACGGAUGUCCGCACAACGAUACAGUCAUGUCCCCAGGGCCUCUCCCCCACGACAGCGGCAGGGCUGUCACUCAGCACACCUGGACCAUCAUGGAUGUCACCAUGCUAUCGAAGGCCCUGCGGAGAGAAACAGCCAUCAGAGCAGCCCCACCGGGGACCCAGGACCAGGACAGUCCCUCCGCAGUCACGUACUUCUCGGCUGCGAGGCCAGCGUCCCGCCACCCCGGCAGGGGGAGGCUAGGACCCAGGAUGAACUGAGACCAAGUCCUGGCUGAGGGCAGGUGCCACGGGCAGGGGUGACCCCGCGCUGGGCCACGCAGGAUCCUCUCAUCUGCUGGCUCGGAGGAGCCCCUUGGGAACCAUGUUUAGGAAUGUAGGGAAUUCCCGGGAGCAGAUUCGGAGCAUGUGCACGAACGCUUCCUUGUAAGAUUUCUGUGGAGUCCCCCGUCAUGCCUGCAUCUCUGAGUACCACGCACAAGACCCCUAUGAUCCGGUUCCCUAACCCCCAAGUGCGGCAUCGAAGACAAGAGGGCAUUUUCUCACAAAGGUCCGGUAACACGCCUGGGCCCCUACUGGGUCCCGUGGGGGCCCUGGGACUGACUGGGCACACCUGGGAAACCAAGAGGGCAAGGUGUGUGCCCUGCACCCAGUCCUUGUCUGUUUUAUAUCGGACACCCAUGUAAGAGUUUACUGGAAAAACAGGGUUCUGCUGCGUCAGCGUCACUGCUUAGAGACACGAUGCCCAGCAUGGACACAGACCUUCCCUCCCGCACGCUGGUAACUGCGGCUCUCCGCAAGGGAGGGGCUGCACCGCAAUCGGCUCACCG
Molecule: RNA transcript, 4548 nt
Organism: Mustela erminea (ermine)
Lineage: Eukaryota; Metazoa; Chordata; Mammalia; Carnivora; Mustelidae
Exons: 5
Source: RefSeq, a predicted model, not a curated record